GAGGCGGCGAGCGGCGGACGGGUGAGUAAUACCUAGGGAUCUGCCCAGUCGAGGGGGAUAACAGUUGGAAACGACUGCUAAUACCGCAUACGCCCUACGGGGGAAAGAAGGGGACCUUCGGGCCUUUCGCGAUUGGAUGAACCUAGGUGGGAUUAGCUAGUUGGUGAGGUAAUGGCUCACCAAGGCGACGAUCCCUAGCUGUUCUGAGAGGAUGAUCAGCCACACUGGGACUGAGACACGGCCCAGACUCC
Molecule: ribosomal RNA, 251 nt
Filed under: uncultured Shewanella sp.
Lineage: Bacteria; Pseudomonadati; Pseudomonadota; Gammaproteobacteria; Alteromonadales; Shewanellaceae
Description: partial 16S ribosomal RNA
Rfam family: Bacterial small subunit ribosomal RNA
Source: RNAcentral